Long non-coding RNA from Heterocephalus glaber (naked mole-rat), 923 nucleotides. The record is from Ensembl. NCBI's taxonomy places the organism in Eukaryota, Metazoa, Chordata, Mammalia, Rodentia, Bathyergidae.
UUUUGCCCUUGGGCCAUCUGCAACCAGACAGCAAUAAACUCUUUGCUAGUUGCUUGAACUUUGCCUGCCUCAGUAGUCUCAAUUUUGUCUGUCUGAUCUUACAGGAACGAGAGAGUCUAUUUAUAAUUAUGCAUCCAUUUGUUGACUCCCUAUAAGGAAGGUAAAUGCAGUUGGACAAAGAUUGAUUCUGGAAAGGGAAAACACUCCAUGAAACUGAGUCAACAUUUAAGAAAAUGUCCUCAGAAUCAUUUGACAAAGACAACACAGAAAAGAAUCCAUAUGGAUUAGUUAAAUGAUAAGAUGCCUUUAAAAUUGGUAAAUAGGAUGCCGAGCCAAAGUCGCAAGUCCUGUGGAACGCGCCGAAUCAGCUCGCUACAGACAGGCAGGUCUGCGGACACCAUAGCAAAGUGGCGAGUCACACCGAAUGCGCCCAAUCAGCCCGCACCCCCACAGCAAUCCACUGGACACCCCCUCCCCACCCCCCCCACCCCGCUCCUCUGUACAGCCACCUGGUUCCACACUACAAAGAUGCAGAGGACACUGGACCACGAGACCACUGUACUGGAUAAGUUGGAGUCAUCCUCACCUCCCAUCAGGACCCAGACUAUCUUCAGGGGAAGGGCAGCUGGAACCUGCAAUUCAACUCUGCAGAGUUCAACCCUACGGGAGGACAGGGAGCUCAACUUGGGACUUGCAGCCAGAAAUCUGCCUGAAUCUCUCAUGAGUCUGCGACUAGCUUGCUGAGACUCAUUGACUUAUAUCUGCACACUGCAACCCACACUGGCUAUUGUGACAGCAGAGACAUACCCUGAAAGAGGCCCUUCAUCUUCACUGUUAUUUUUAUUCCCAAAAUUAGUAUUAUUAGUUUGUUUUUUCUCUCUUUUCUUCUCUUUUGCUCCUCUUAUCUUUAAUUUUAUUCCUAC